This is a non-coding RNA of Schistosoma rodhaini, 48 nucleotides long. NCBI's taxonomy places the organism in Eukaryota, Metazoa, Platyhelminthes, Trematoda, Strigeidida, Schistosomatidae. The record is from Rfam.
AUCCAACUGACAAGUCACAAAUAGGACGAAACACGCGUCAAACUGGAU